CCUGGUUCAAAAGGUACUGCCUGAUGUCUUCUCUGUUGUUGAUUAGUUGGAAAAAAUUUUCUGAGAGAACGUUUGACAGCUGUGACAUUCAUGGGCAACGCAUUUGAAAAAGAAGGCAUAAAUAUUCAGAGACAUAUUAGAAUGCUGUUCAAUGAAGAUAGUGAAAGUGAAGAAAUCAGUUAAUCCUAAAUUUGCCUCUGAGAAUAAGUAGAGCCAUCAGCUCCACUGUUA
RNAcentral lists this long non-coding RNA (231 nucleotides) under Phasianus colchicus (ring-necked pheasant). RNAcentral's name for it is "lncRNA (ENSPCLG00000008022.1)". Lineage: Eukaryota; Metazoa; Chordata; Aves; Galliformes; Phasianidae. The record is from RNAcentral.